Molecule: long non-coding RNA, 29573 nt
Filed under: Homo sapiens (human)
Lineage: Eukaryota; Metazoa; Chordata; Mammalia; Primates; Hominidae
Description: non-protein coding DDX11-AS1:8
Source: RNAcentral
GCGCACGCGGGAACUGGGAUCUCAACCCCAGGGCUAGGUGCCUCCUCCCGCUGCUUUCCGCCAGCUGCGGGGUGUGAGAUUAAUCCCCGCCGAUUAGCGCCAGGUGUACUAAGCGCUGGAUGGUUCCCUGACCAGAUGAAACAUCAGCCGAUGUUCUAAUGCCGGUCCCCUGGGCGCUGUCCCCGAGAGGGAAAACCUGUUUUCUGACCCCGGCUCUAGUCGGCCUCUGGAGGUCUGCAGCUGGGUUAUUUUACCUUUGAAACGGACGACACCUGCCCCGUGCACCCCAGCGGCUCCUCCACACGGAGAGAUGGUGUCAGUCAAAGGCCGUCUAGAUGACGAGUUUAUGAAAUUGUUCCUGGCCCGUGCCGGGCACGACCUUGCAGAGAGCCCAGAAGAUGAAACCCCAGCCCUGCCAGGAGCUCACCUGCUAAUUAGGAGGACAACGAAUCACCUCACCUCCCUAGACUUUGCUUCUCCUUUAUUCAGUGAGGGAUUGGACUAGCUGGUCCUUGAGGACUUUUCAGAAAGUCUGGUUCUGGGAGAUGACCAAUGGGAUCAUCUUAUGCUAUGAGCUUUCCUGGAAUGACAGGUAAUGGAGAGUGAGGAGAUUUUACCUGAUAUGGUCCUGUUUGCACCAUCAGCCAGCAACCUUUCUGGGAAGCGUGCUUAUUAUGUACCAACAUAAAAGCUUGAAUAUAAGUGAAUUCACAGCUGGAGUCACCUCAGCAGUGGCAUCUGGGGUGCCACUGCUGGCAUCAGGGGAGUUCCCACAAGGGAGUACCCCAAGCCAUCCCAAGAUGGGACCAGUUGGAAUCCCAAAGAAAGAAGCACUAGACGCCAGGGUGAUCAGAUCAAAGCAUUUAUUAUGAGAACUUAGGUAGAAACUGGGUUUCACCAUUUCCUCCAGAUAGGCAGUUAGGGAAAGAGGUGCUCUACCUAGUGAGGUCUGCAGCAUGAGGAUCAGGGAAUGGAGUUGGUGAGAGAUUAAGGCAUUUGGCUCAGGGCCUGGCCAGUUCCUCUCAGUGUUUGGGGCAACAACCUAAACACCUUUGUAGGUGCCUGGGAGUGUUCAAAGCGUAACCUUGGGUUCCAGCCUGCCGGGCAAAUUGUGCAGCUGAUGGGGUCACAGAACAGUUGAGGCACGCUCUGUUUCUUGGUUAGGACAGAAAAAGGGAAAACGGAGUACCCUUCAACUACUAUGCGGUAGGGGGGACAAAGUUUCAGAAUGAUUUUAAAAACUAAAUUAGAAUGAACUUCAGUUAUUCCAACAAUAGCAUAACUUGUUCUAUGGCAAUCUGACGUGCUUUCUUACAUGACGGGGGCUAUAGUCAGCAGCACUCCACUGUAUGUAUCCCACAGCCCACCUUCCUAUGCUCUCAUCCGUAAUCCAAAUAUACCCACGAGAGUGUGGCAACCCUGUGAAUUUCACCCAACACGUGUGGAGAUAGAAAAGGGAAUUGAAAACCAAACCCGAUGCUGCUCUGCCACCCUACUCUCUUCUUGUGUCAGUGAAACCUUUCCUGAAAACUCAAGGAGAUGCUUCCAGAACUGUUCUGUCACUUGGGCUUACCCCUAGUAUAGAUACUGACAGCCAACAGUUUCCUAGGGAGAUAAGAGACAAGAAGCCUAAGGUAUCUUCCAAGAUCAAAUCUACCUCCUUAGUCCUAAUCCAAAGUUGUCCAUCCCAUUAAACCAAAGGUGGGAGAAUCUACUAUGGAGUGGCCUCACUGACAUCCAGACAGACAACUGGAAUAAGCUUUAGCCCCCGGUUCUAAAUAUUCACAGUGACUCACAAGUGGUUCGUAGAUAGACCCAACUUCUUCAGGUGGACUUUGGUGCUUGUGCCUCCGUUGACCUUGUUAACCAAAAAGUGACUGCGACAUGUUUCAAUCGAUUACAGGUUUAUUUAGCCAAAGUUGAGGACACGCUGGGUCCCUGCACUGCCUUCUUCUCUGUCGGUCUCCUGAAAGCCUCUGCUUAAGGAGGUCUCCGUGGCCAUCUUUAGCAUCUCAGAGUGAAUUAAAUCCCCCUUUCUAAGGGCAUUUUCCUGUGAAGCUUUAUUCUCUGUGACAUAAGGGGAGAGGGAUUUUUAGAGAACCUGGGGUGGCGGGGGCUUUAGAGGAGAGGGGGGAUUCUCAGGGGAUUUCCCUCUCCCCAGAGAUACAUCUCUCCAUGAAACAAACAAACAGAAAGCACGCAAUACAGUGCACAGCACACAGUCAGUGCUCAUGAAGUGUUGGUUCCCCGUCUGCCUACUGCAGUUGGUACAAACAACACUCAGGGUGCCAAGCUUCAGUUUGGUGAAGAAAAGCAUAGCCCACAUUCCAGUUCCCAGGCCUCGUCCUGAAGGGUAAGGGCAGCUCAGGCCCUGGCAUUGCUUGUCCUGAGGACAGGCCAGCAUGUCCUGUGCCUGGUGGUCUCCAGAAAUGUUGUUGCCUGCCUGCUGCCACUCUGCAUCUCAAGCUUAUCCCCCCAUGCCUUGCCAAAGCCCACUCCAUCUCCCUCCCCUCCCAAUCCACCUGGAGCUCCCACCUGUCAUCUUUCCUUCCCACCGUGGGGCAGGUGGCGAUCUGCAGGCCUCCCUGAGAGAGAACUGCCCCUACCCUGCCUCAAAGCCAGGGGCACUGAUCCAGCUCUCAGCUCCAAGAAGAUGGACUGGGAUCUUCCCUUAAUGCCUUCUGGGGUCUGAGGAUAAAGAUGGAGAGAGGCACUGAGCUGAGCACAAACAGGAAAAGGAAGAGCUCAUGGCUCAGAGCUGAAGAAGACAGGACCCAGUGAGCAGAGGACUGUGUCCCCAUAGGGAAAGACAUGUUCUGGUACAGGCAGGUCUGGAGUUCAGGAAGGAUUCAGGCUCAGUAGGGACUCCGGCUCACUGCCCUCUGCUUGGGAGAGCAAACCCUCCUAGGUGAGGUUUCCUUUCUGUGCCUUUACUGCAGGGAGCUUGUGUCAGAAUCAAGGGCACCAUCAAAAUAGGAUGCCACAGACAUCUCAGCUGUGCCAAACUAAUGCCCAAAGGCUCAGCUAUUGCAGGUAGGGGUGGGAGGGCAGGCCCUCACAGGUAGGCCUCCUCACAGGCCCACCCUGCCCUUUAUGGCACAGCCCAGGACCCUUAGGUCAAAGCUGACUUUUCCCAGUCUCAAAGCGCCGUCUUAUCUGUUGCUUUAUUUGUAACUCACAACAGGCCUCUGAGUCAGGCAGGGCAUAUGUCACUCCUAUUUCAUAGAAAGAGAAACUGAGGCAUGGGGUGGGCUAAGUGACUUGGGCCAGAGGGUAAGUGAAUUGGAGUCAGGACUCAGAUCUCCUUGGAUCCACACCAGACAUCCUCCCACAUGGAACCCUCUCCCUAAUCUUAACACUUCCAUGGCGUCAUGGCUUCAUCAGCCAUCACAAGAAAAUGAGGCCACAGAAAUUGCAUGCAUGUUCAUGUGUGUGUGUGCCUGUGUGUGUGUACACAAGUUCAUGUGUUUGUGCACGUGUGCAUAUGUGCAUGCGUGAUGCCUUACUUGCUGAGGGAAGAGGAGGAGGGUUGGCAGCUGCUGAUGAUUUUCUCUAUCUUGAAUGUUGUAAGUGCUUUUCCCAGGAGAGCCAGAUAGCCAUGGUGUGUCAGGAGAGGUCUCAGAAUGAGACUUAUGAAGUGAAGAUGAACAAUGACACAGAGGCCUGCAGUGAGCCCAGUCUGCUCUCCACAGAGAUGUGAGCUCUGCUGUCCUCUGCCCAGGAUGGCCUGGGUGUGGAGAUGGGUCUGGGGAGGCAGGGGCAGGUCCUCAAGAUCCCUCCUCUGGGCAUGAUUUGUAGGAGGAGGGGAGAUCACAGAGAAAAAACCUGCACAGCCUCUGUCAUCUUCUUAGUGGAAUGGGGGCCCCCAUCUCUCUUUUUCACACACACACACACGCGCACACGCACACACACACACAGCCCUUUUUAGUUUGGCCUUUCCUGACUGGGAAAACAUCUAAACAUGGUUUCUUAAACUUUUUAGGCUGUAACCAACAGACAUAAAUGUAUUUUCUGGUGACACUUAGUGCACAAAUACAUAUAUUGACAAACAAGUGUUUCGUGACACUACUGUAAAAUAAAGCUGCCCAGAAGAGGGCACUGGUGGCAAAUCUAGGCCUGAGAUUAUUUUGACCUUGCUGGAAUUUUUUUAAUAUUUUAGUUGCAUAUCUAGAUGCCUUAGAAGGUUGUGGCAUCCAUUUGGCUUUUAAAUGCCAGCUAUGAGAGAGGAGGUGGCUGCAGCACUGGCUAAAGGGCAGAAGGAAAAAGGGAAAAUUCUCCUCCAAGGGAGCAGACCAAUGUUGCUUAGACCCUAGCUCUGAUCACCCUUCUCUCAAAACUCUGCAUCCAAACCUCAUCCUCAGGUUGAUCUCUUCUACCCUUGACUGCCUGUUCCCAGAUGUACUGGGUUGAAAAAGUUCAUGUCCACUCAGAACCCGGAAUGUGACCUUGUUUGAAAAUAGGGUCUUUGCAGAUGUUACCAAGGUAAGGGGAGCUCAGUGGAUUAGAGUGGGCCCUACCUAGUCCAGUGAUUGCUGGUUUUAUUAAGAAGAGAACACACACACAGACACACAUGCACCAAACACACACACACACACAUAUACACAAGAAUGUGCCCUGUGAAAAUGCAGGCAGAGCUUAGAGUGGCCUGGAUCUGUAUGUUGCUUCAGUUCUGGGAGCUCCCAUGAGCCAGCAGAGAGACUGCAGGGUCUUCCUGAACAGUUCCUGAAGAGGAAAGAGAGACUCAGAGGAUUGCCCCGAUAUCGCCCUUCCCUCCUCCUAAACUCUGCUGGGCUCUCCCACUCCCCCAGGAAGACUUCCCUGCUAACUUCUGCCCUGCAAGUUGACCCUGAGAUUUUCAAGUGCCACCUGCCCCUGUGAACUUGAAUGGAUUGCGCUGUUCUUUGCACAAGAACAGAAACGUCUGCCUGGAGUGCAGCUUGUCCUGGUGGCUGGGACUUUCCUGACACACAGCUCCCCUUAUCUGUUGUGGAGCGGUCUCACUGACAUCUGAGCAAGCAACUGGAAGAAGCUUCAGCCCCAGUUCUAAAGGUUCACAGUGACUGACAGCUGGGGUUGAGACAGACCCGCCUUCUGUAGGUGGACUUGGUGAUGGCCUCGGUUGUCCUUUUAUAGACAUUACCUAUUGUGAGGGGCACGACUUUCACCCUCCUGCCCCACCAGUGUGGCAGUGCAUUUUUUAUUCUUUACAUUUUUUAUUCAUAUUAUUUCUUGUUCAAUUGAAGAUGUACUUCUUCCUGAGUGUGCCUGUGAAAGGCUUUCUGAAAGAAGCUGCUUAGGUGACUCAGCCUGGAAGCUGAGGCAGGUUGCAAGGGGGCAUCUUCCUGAGCCCUCAGUAUGUCAUCCAUGAGGGACUGGAUGGGCUCCAGUGACUCAUUCUUCACUCCUUCCAGAGCUGAAACCAGAAUGAGGCCAACUCAGACUCUGGACCCUAAGCACCGCCUCCCUAACCCCCUUCUUCCCACCCCAUGCCAGGUCAGCAUUGCACAGCUCUGCUUAGAAUCAUGUUUCCACUAUAAAAGCAAUACUUGUUUCACUGUAGGAAAUACUUAAUACACAAUUUUUUUUAAGGAAAAGAAGAAAAAUCACUCACCCCAGAGAUAACACUGCUAAUAUUUGGUAGCUGUCCUUGCAGUCUUUUUUUAAAACAGCAACCAAAAAAACAAACAAACAAACAACAACAAAAAACAACCGAAUGUUGAUAGAUUUUUUUUUCACAAAAUAGGACUAGUAAUUUUUUUCAUUCCAUAAUAUAUUCCUCUAUACAGCAUAACAGGCAAUCACAUGAUUCUACCAUAACUUUUUUAAAAAAAAAAAAACAGGGCCUCAACCAGUCACCCAGGCUAAAGUAUAAUGGCGUGAUCAUAUCUCACUGCAGCCUCAACCUUCUGGGCUCAGGUGAUCCUCCUACCUCAGCCUCCUGAGUCAUUGGGACUAUAGGUGUGAGCCACCACAUCUGACUAAUUCUAUCAUAAUUUUUUUGGUGAAUACCCUAUUUCUGAAUAAUUAGAUUCUUUGCAAUCUUUCAGUGUUAUAAAAAGUAAUCAUAAAUUCAUUCAGCAACUAUAUAUUGAGGACUUACUAUUACCAGGCACUGCUAGGGGCUGGGGAUCCAGGGGAGGACAAGAAAAACAGAUUCCCACCCUUGAGAAGUUAGCAUUCUGGUGGGGGAAAGACAAAUCAGCAGUUAAAUGCAAAUUAAGUAAAAGGGAGGAAGCUGAGGGGAGUUCUGAGACCAAAUGACGGGGGAGGAGCCCUUAGGCCCAUCAGGGGAUGUUUCUCUGAGAAGGUGAUGCUCCAGCUCAGACCCGAAGUUGAAAGCCAGCCUACGAACACACAGGGCAAGGGCAGAAGACUUCCACGUGGUGUGUGUGGGGGGUCUCUUUGUGUCAUAGAAAGUACCAGUGUGACUGCAGUUCCCAGAGGGGCAGGAAGUGGUGUAGGCUAAGGGUGAGAGGCCUCAGAGGUCAGGACAUUCUGAGUCGGGUGAGUGAGAAUAUGGGAGCAGACUGAGACCCUAAGAGCAGUAGGGAGCUGCUGAGGGGUUUAAAGCAAGGAGUGGCAUGUUCCAGCAUGCAUGUUCUAAAGAGAAUCUGGCUGCUAAGAGCAGAAUCGUAUAGAGAAGAGGAAGAGGGUGUUGGGAGGCUGUUAAAGUGGUCCCGUUAGGGAAUCAUGAGGGUGUAGAGUAGGGUGGGAACAAAAGAAAUGGAGACAGGAAAUUCCUUAGCAUGAAAAGGAUAAAGACGAGAAAGAAUCUUUGUUCAACAAAACUUGUUCAUUUUAGGCCUUCAAACCCAUCAAUGUCUACAGCAUAAUGUUCGUUUCAUUCACUUAGAACAGAACACAAGAACGGGGCUGAAGCUCUAACAGAAAAGACAUAAGACCCUUGAGAAAGCAUUACUUGAACACAAGGUUUCUGGGACAUUAAACAUGGGUAUAAGUGCUGCUAUAGUACCUUUCUGGGGAAGACUUCCUCCUGUCUCGGGGACUUAGGCAUCAUCAAAGGCAGGGUGGGAUGAAGAAAGUAAGGUGAAUGCUCUGGUAGACUGAGAAGUCUAGGAUAUACAGGGGGACUUCAGGUGUCAAAACAAGAGGAGAAGGCUUCAGAAGCACACAAUGUCAGGGUCAGAAUUGAAGCCAGGUUGCAGCCCAAAGGGGACAGACAGCCCUGCCAGUUACUCGUGCUUCAGAGGUGGCACGGCUGCUCUCGGAGAAGCAACUGACUAUUUCAGUUUUCCCUGACUACAGCUAUAAGGACGCUCCCUACCUGCCACCCUCCAUAUCAUCCCCCGCCCGCACCUAGACACCCGAAUCAAGGCAAUGAAAUUGUCUUGUGGGACAUCUAUGUGCCCAGCAAAGCUCAGCACAUUAUGUGCAUUUUUAUUCAAUAAUGACAACGAUGUUCAAGAUCAGCGCUGUUACUCUCAUGACACAGAUGAAGAAAGGCCUAGAGAUGAAGUCACGUGCCCAAGUCUGCAGGGUCCUGACUCAUAGAGCUGGUAUGGAAACUGAUCUGGCUGGUUCUGGAGCCCCUGCUUUUCCAUUUCACCACUGACUAGGAGGAGAGAGAGGACCCUGAAAUAUCGUUUAGUUCAAUACUUGACUCUCUAGACAAAGAACUGGGAAUGACACAUAUGGGAAAUAAGGAAUUCUCCAUCUGCAGAGGUCUGCUAGGCAUUUUCUCUGAGGAGUCAAUCAUUCACCGUUCUCUCAAAAGCAGCUUAUGCAAAAUAUGAUCUCUUAGCAGCCACAGUAUUCAAUACCCUGAUUAGGUUCAAAUCAGAAGGCAAACACCUCAAGGACAAGAGUUUGCAACAAAAAAGGCAACAACAGCACCCUGGACACUCAUGUCAGGACAUUCCAAUGUGCAUACGCCUCCUUAAGCACAGAGGGAUGCUGAAGAUGAUCUACCAAAGCAAACAUUCUUUCUGUUUUGUCUCCACAUCAAAGGAAGGAAAUUGUUACAUGGAAAACAGGAACAAGUAAUUUAUAACCUAUUUCUGCUUGGUCCUAGAAUGGACUGACUAUCCUCACACCCUAUCACAAGCACUGUUCACCCCUCUCUUCCUUCUUAGAGAAGUUAAAAACUGUGCUUCAGUGAGCUCCCAUCCCACUCAAAGUAAAACCCUCAAUCUUGACUGUGCCUAGAAGACCCAAGAGGAUUCUGGCCCCACUACUCUUCUCUCAUCUCAUCUCCUGCUCUUCCUUCUGCUCCCUCCAUGAUCAUCAUACUGGCUUCUUGAUCCUUGAACAUGCCAAGGACUCUUCCCUUAGAGAGCCAUAGAGCUCCCUUUCUCCCUUCCUUCAAGGUGUCAAAGAAAAUACUGUUUCAGCACCCUCCAAGUUUAUUACACCCAGAAGGAUAUUAAGACCCAAGACUGAGUCGCACCACCGGUUUCCAAUUCUGCUUCUCAGAUUAAAGGAGAACUCUCUUCCCCAUUGUUCCUCUUCUGUGAAUGAGUAGGAGAGACCAGAGACCAGGCCUUGCCCACUACCGAACCCAGAUCUUUGUUAUAGGUUAACUGACUCCUUUAUUGUCGUGUACCUUGCUAAGACCAGAUGACACCCGAGAUGCCAAGACUGUUAAAUCUUCAGUGAGGAAUGUUAAAUCUACCUUUCCACAAAGAAAAAGACCACCUGGACUAAUUAGAUCAUUUAAAUGAUGCAUUAAACCUUACACAGAAAGAUGUUGAAAUUCUGCUAGGCUUUCCCAAGCUUCCUCUGUAUAAAGGAUCCCAAACUUCACUUUGGAAUACAGACUUCCAUUCUGUGGAAUCUGGGCUUCCCACACAGGCCUGUCCUCAACGUUUGUGCCUAAAUCAACUCUAUUUAAGGUAAAUUCUGACCUUCUUGCGUCCUUUAGUUUAACAGGGGUCUCUGGUGAAGUGCCUCCUUAUUGGAGAGGACAUUUCUGUCACCUCACCCUCAUACACUGCUCAGCCCCUCCCCUUGCUUUAUUUUCUCCAUGGUGCUUCCCUGACAUGUAUGCCCUUGUUGAGGGCUUGCUUCCUCUCCUUGACUAGAAUGUAAGUUGCAUGAAGCCAGGGACAUCAGCUUAAUUCAGUGCAGCAUCCCCAGGGCUUAGAGAAUCACCUGGCACACAGGAGGUUUUCAAUAAUUAAGAAACAAAUUUGUGUAAACAGCAAGGGUGGGAGUUGGCAGAAGUGCAUUCUGUAUAAAACACAGGUAUUUGUGUUUGGCUGUUGGUGCUAAGGAAGGCUGUGAAAGGUGAGUUCAAGUUUGCUUCUGAUAUACAUUGGAAAUAUCAACUCCUCUUUCUCCGUAGCCACAACUCCCACUCCCUACCUCUUUUCUUUCUCAGGACUUUGGGAAGAUUCAAGAACAAUGUAGGGAACACGGGCUGUGGGAAGAGCCCUGAAUUGGAAUUCUACUGAUUCUCCCAGUCAUUCUCUAUGUGACCUUGGACAAAUGGCUUAGCCUCUGUAAUGGGUAGGGUUGGAUGUCAGGAUGGGUAAAUGAGAGUGAGCUGGCAAUCUCUGGUGUCUGGAUGAAUUGCUCAGGGCCUCUCUAUUCUACACAAUCUUGGGAUCUCUUUUAUCUUAGAAAUUUGUGCCUAGCUUGCACUUUACUCUAUAAUUUGCCCACUACAAUUUUUAAAAAUGUUUCAAUUUUAAAAUAAUAUGAUUUUAGAAAUAUGCACCAAAAUAGUUAUAGAUGAAACAAUAAGAAGUCUGGGAUCUGAUUCACAAUAAUCCUGGCAGGGAGACAGUGUAAGUAAGGAGACAGAAAAACACGGGUGGCGUGAGUUGCUGUGGCUGGGGAAUGGGCACAUGGGAGUUUGUGAUACCAUUCUCUAUACUUCUGUAGAGCACUGAAAACACAACUGAAAAUCUUUGCAGCCAUAAAAUAAAAAAACAAGAUCAUGUAUUUUUCAGGGACAUGGAUGGAACUAGUGUCGAUUAUAUUUAGCAAACUAACACAGGAACAGAAAACCAAAUACUGCUUGAUCUCACUUAUAAGUGGGAGCUAAAUAAUGAGAACACAUGGACACAUAGAGGGGAACAACACACACUGGGGCCUAUCAAGUGGUGGAGGGUGGAAGGAGAAAGAGGACCAGGAAGAAUAACUAUUGAGUAGUAGGCUUAGUACCUGGGUGAUGAAAUAAUCUGUACAACCAACCCCCAUGACACAUGUUCACCUAGAUAACAAGCUUACACAUGCACCAAUGAACUUAAAAUAAAAGUGAAUAAAUAAACGAAAAAAAAGGAAAAUCUUAAACCACCUAGAGAAAAAAGAUCACCUACAAAGGAACAAAAAUUAGAAUGACCCCAGGCUUCUUCACACCGACAAAGAAAGCCAGAAAACUAUACUAUAUAAUAUCUUCAAAGUGCCAAGGGAAAACAAUUGUCACUCUAGAAUUGAGUCAUCAGUACAGUGGUCUUUCAAGAAUGACAGUAAAUAACAUUUCAAACAAAAACUAAGGGAGCUCACUUAAGAGCACUAAAGAAACUUUUAAAAGCUGACUCUGCAAUGAAGAGAAGUGGAUGGGCCUCAAAGGAAGGUCAGACAUGCAAAAGAAAUGUAAGAAUGUAUGUAAAUCUAAACAGUUUGUAUAAAAUGAUGGCAGUCAUAGCCUCUGAUAAUGGUUUGGCUGUGUCCCCACCCAAAAUCUCAUCUUGAAUUGUAAUCCCCCUAAUGCCAGGUGUCAAGGGAGAGAUCAGGUGGAGGUAAUUGGAUCAUGGGGGUGGUUUCCUCCAUGCCGUCCUCAUGAUAGUGAGUUCUCACGAGGUCUCAAGGUUUUAUAAGGGAGAUUUCCCUGCUCUUGCUAGCAAUUCUUCCACCUGCUGCCUUGCGAAGAAGGCGCCUUGCUUCCUCUUCACCUUCCAUCAUGAUUGUAAGUUUCCUGCCUCCCCAGCCAUGCAGAACUGUGAGUCAAUUAAACCUCUUUCCUGAAUAAAUUACCCAGUCUCUUCAUAGCCGUGUGAGAACGAACUAAUACAGCCUCUAAUUUCUGGGCUAGAUAGAACUAAAAUAAUGGCCAUCAAAAGCCUGUAAUUGGGAAGGACAGUGAUUGGAAUGAGUGUCAAGACAGGACAGAAGGUUAUAAUGUGGUUUUACUUCACACUCUGUUAAGUUUAGAAUGCAUGAUAAAAGUCUACUUUUUGGUACCUAGCCCGGAGAACCCUUCACAAUUGUGUAUAAGGAGGCAUAUUUAAAAACGUUCUGGGGACAGUGGGAGGAACAGCAUCAGGAAAAAUAACUAAUGCAUGCUGGGCUUAAUACCUAGAUGAUGGGUUGAUAGGUGCAGCAAACCACCAUGGCACACAUUUACCUAUUUAACAAACUUACACAUCCUGCACAUGCGCCCCAGAAUUUAAUAUAACAAUAAAAAAAAGUUCAUGCUAGUAUUGCUUGAAUAGUAACAUCCUGGGAACAACUUCAGUGUUCAUCUACAUGGGAAAUGAUUUCUAAACUCUAGAAUAUCAAUACCACGGAACACUACUGGGAAUGCAGUAGAUCUGUUGGAACCAACAUUUCAGUGGGAAACAAACAAGUGUCUGAAACUUUUCAUACACAUAUUUAUAAAUAUCCCUUAUGAACAUCAAUGCAAAAAUCCUCAACAAAAUACUAGCUAACCAAAUUCAACAGCGUAUCAAAAAGAUAAUACACCGUGAUCAAGUGGGCUCCAUACCAGGGAUUCAGGGUUGGUUUAACAUACACAAGUCAGGCCGGGCACAGUGGCUUACACCUGUAAUCUAGCACAUUGGGAAGCCAUGGUGGUUGGAUCACUUAAGGCCAGGAGUUUGAGACCAGCCUGGCCAACAUGGCAAAACCCUGACUCUACUAAAAAAUACAAAUAAAUUAGUUGGGCAUGGUGACACACACCUGAAAUCCCUGCUACUUGUGAGGCUGAGGUAUGAAUAUCCUUUGAACCCGGGAGGUGGAGGUUGCAAUGAGCCAAGAUCAUGCCAUUAUACUCCAGACUGGGUGACAGAGCAAGACUCUGUCCCCAACCCCUGAAAAAUAUAUGAGUUAAUAAAUGUGAUACACCACAUAAACAGAAGUAAAAGCAAAAAUCAUGUGAUCAUCUCAAUAGACACAGAAAAAGCAUUUGAUACAAAUCCAGCAUUUCUUUAUUAUUAAGACCCUCAGCAAAAUUAGCAUGGAAGGGACAAAUCUUAAGGUAAUAGAAGCCAUCUAUGACAGACCCAUAGCCAACAUUAUACUGAACAGGGAAAAGUGGAAAGCAUUUCCUUUGAGAACUGGAGCAAUAUAAGGAUGCCCACUUUUACCACUUCUAUUCAGCUUAGUACUGGAAGUCCUAGCCAGAGCAAUGAGACAAGAGAAUGAAAUAAAGGGCAUCCCAAUUGGUAAAGAGGAAGUCAAACUGUUGCUGUUUGUUGAUGAUAUGAUCGUAUACCUAGAAAACCCUAAAGACUCAUCCAAAAAGCUCCUUUAUCUGAUAAAUGAAUUCAGUGAAGUUUCAGAAUACAAGAUCAAUGUACACAAAUCAGUAGCACUGCUAUACACCAACAGUGACUAAGCUGAGAAUCAAAUCAAGAACUCAACCCCUUUUACAACAGCUUAAAAAAAAAACUUAGGAAUAUACCUAAUCAAAGAGGUGAAAGAUCUCUGCAAUGCAAACUACAAAACACCCCUGAAAAAAAUCAUAGAUGACACAAACAAAUGGAAACGCAUCCCAUGCUCAUGCAUAGGUAGAAUAAAUAUUGUGAAAAUGACCAUACUUCCAAAAGCAAUCUAUAAAUUCAAUGCUCCAUCCAAAUUAUUUUCUCCAUCCAAAUACCAGCAUCAUUCUUCACAGAACUAGAGAAAACAAUCCUAAAGUUCAUAUGGAACAAAAAAAGAGCCUGCAUAGUCAAAGCAAGACUAAACAAAAACAACAAAUCUGGAAAUAUCACAUUACCCAACAUCAAACUAUACUAUAAGGCUAUAGUUACCAAAAAAGCAUGAUACUAGUAUAAAAACAGGUGCAUAGACCAAUGGAACAGAAUAAAACCCAGAAAUAAAGCCAAAUACAGCCAACUGAUCUUCAACAAAGUAAACAACAACAUAAAGUGGGGAAAGGACACCCUAACCAAUAAAUGGUGCUGAGAUAAUUGGCAAGCCGCAUGUAGAAGAAUGAAACUGGAUCCUCAUCUCUCACCUUACACAAAAAUCAACUCAAGAUGGAUCAAAGACUUAUAUCUAAGACCUGAAACCAUAAAAAUUCUGGAAGCUAACAGAAGAAUUCUUCCAGACAUUGGCCUAGGCAAAGGGUUCAUCACCAAAAACUUAAAAGCAAAUACAACAAAAACAAAUAUAAAUAGAUGAGACUUAAUUAAACUAAAAAACCUUCUGCACAGAAAAAGAAAUAAUCAGCAGAGUAAACAACCCACAGAGUGGAAGAAAAUAUUUGCAAACUAUGCAUCCAACAAAGGACUAAUAUGUAGAAUCUACCAGGAACUCAAACCAGCAAGAAAAAAACAAUUCCAUCAAAAAGAGGGCUAAGGACAUGAAUAGACAAUUCUCAAAAGAAGAUGUACAAAUGGCCAUCAAACAUGUGAGAAAAUGCUCAAUAUCACUAUCAGGGAAAUGCAAAUCAAAACCACAGAUACCACCUUCCUUCUGCAAGAAUGUCCAAAAUUUAAAAAUCAAAAAACAAUAGAUGUUGGUGUGGAUGUGGUGGAAAGGAAACACUUUUACACUGCCGGUGGAAAUGUAAACUAGUACAACCAUGAUGGAAAACCUUACGGAGGUUCCUUAAAGAACUAAAAGUAGAAUUACCGUUUGACCCAGCAAUCCCACUACUGGGUAUCUGCCUUCCCAAAAGAAGUCAUUAUAUGAAAAAGACACUUGCACACAUGUGUUUAUAGCAGCACAAUUCACAAUUGCAAAAAUAUGGAACCAGCCUAAAUGUCCAUCAACCAACGAGUGAGUAAAGGAAUUGUGGUGUAUAUAUAUAUAUACACACACACAACAUAAAAUACUACUCAGCCAUAAAAAAGUAACAAAAUAAUGGCAUUUGCAGCAACCUGGAUGCAGUUGGAGACCAUUAUUCUAAGUGAAGUAACUCAGGAAUGGAAAACCAAACACCAUAUGUUCUCACUUAUAAGUGGGAGCUAAGCUAUGAGGAUGCAAAGGCAUAAGAAAGAUACACUGAACUCUGGAGACUUGGGAAGGGGUGGGAGGGUGGUGAGGGAUAAAAGACUAUACAUUCAAUGCAGUGUACACUGCUUGGGUGAUGAGUGCACCAAAAUCUCAGAAAUCACCACUAAAGAAUGUAUCCAUCUAAGCAAACAGCCUGUUCCCCCAAAACUAUUGAAAUACUACUAAUAAAUAAAAAUUAUAUUUGUAUAUGUGUAUUUAUAGAAUGUAUAUAAAGACAAAGAACACAGGACUCUACAGCAAACAGGCAGGGGAGGAGGGCAGAGGAGCGAGGUGGAGUGGGGUGAGUGCAACUUUACCCUUGUUGGUCACAUUUCUACUCUUUUGUAAAGACACUGUAUUUGUGCAUUUUCUUCUGUAAAUAUAAAUUAAUGUUAGAAGAGUUCAGUGCAAUAAAAAACAAAAAACUGCAAGUUUAUGAAGAGCAGGGAUGUGUCUGUCUUGAACACCAUUUCACUGUAAGCACCUAUAGCACAUUAUAAAUGUUCAUGGACUGGAAGGGGAGAUCCCCAAAAUAUUAGCAGUCUUUUUAUCUCACUAGUGGGACAAUGUAUAAUUUAUUCGUUCCAAAUACUUUUCUCCAUUUUCCACUUUUCUAUAUGACAUUGAUAAUGGUAAAAAUAAAAUGAUGAACCAUGUUCUUAAGAAAUGUCUUCAUCCCCCAUUCUCUCUCACCCCGCCCCCUAGUGUCACCCAGAACCCAGGUGCAAGGCCCAGACUCACCAUCCCAUAUCAGCUGCAUAUCCUCAUCGUGGAUCUGGUGGAUGUUCACCCAUUUGACUGUGAAUCCUAAAGAUUCAUCUGCAGUCACGGGUGUUGCUUUCACACAGGGCCAGCCAAGAAAUUCUAGUAUAAAAAUGCCAGAAGUCACUACCAAGGAUCGAUAUACAUUUAGGAAAACCAGCACUACAGAUGAAAGGAAACGUUCAAGAAACACAACACCCAGCAUCCAGCCGGGCACAGUGGCUCACACCUAUUAUCCCAGCACUUUUGGAGGCAGAGGCACAGUAUUGCUUGAGCCCAGGAGUUCAAGACCAGACUGUGCAACAUGGUGAUCCCCAUCUCUACAAAAAAAUGCAAAAUUAGCCAGGCAUGGUGACAUGUGCCUGUAGUACCAGCUGGGAGGCUGAGGUGGGAGGAUCACGAGCCUGGGAGGUUAAGGCCGCCGUGAGUCAUGAUCCUGCCACUGCAGUCCAGCCUGGGUGACAGAUCCAGACCCUGUUUCAAGCAAGCAAAACCAAAAGAAAACCCACCAUCCAAGGAUGGAGUUAACAAUAAAAUCUGAACAAAACUUUAGAGAAAGUACUAUUGAAUCCCCAGAAACUUUUUCUUAAAAGAUAUUGAGUUCAGUUCCUAAAGUGCUUAGAAAUUCAAAAUUUGAAGUUAUAUAUAAAUCAAUAAAUAAAUCAAUACAGGCACUGGUCAGGCAAUAUCGCCACAGAAUAAUGAAAUAACUAUCAAGAUACCACAACAUCAUCCAGAAGAGAAAAAUAUAGAGUACCUUCUGCAUUAGAAAAACAAAAAGUUAAAUGAAAAUUCAAUAGGUGGGUUGAAUAGCAGAAUAACCACAACUAAAGGGUGAAUUCGUUAAAAGUGAAUCAGCCCAGAAAUUCUUCCAAAGUAGACAAAGAAAUGGGAAAUAUGGAAGAGAAAUUAAGAAACAUAGAGAAUAAAUCCAAGUAAAUUCCAAAAAUGGAACAGACAGAAGAGAAAAGAGGGCAUGUGAACCAAAAUAGUAGAAGAAAGUUUCACAGAUGAUGAGACCAGUAAGCUUUGCCUCAGUGCCCUGCCUCCCUCCACAUGACUGGGUGAAUGGCAAAGCAGCACCCAGCACCCACAUCUGAGGGGCCCUGUGGUGCAGCUCUUACCAUUUCCCCAGGUGGCCUCUGUGUAGGUGAUGGCCACUUAGUACUUCUCACUUGGACUAUAGCUCCUGACUUCCAAAUUCAGCAAUAUGGAAGAUAACAACCUUCUUACUCUAAACACCUUGAUAUACUAGAUAAAAUAUUAUAUAUAUGCAUAGCUGAGCUUGCAGGAGAGUAAGAGAAAUCUCUAGGGACCAAAAACAAAAAGUUUGCUGACACUCCACCUACUAGGGGUUGGAGGGCAUCACUGGUCCCAAUAACCCCCCAGGGCAUGGGUUGUAAUAUCUCCUGGGAUCCACAGCCUGCAAGCCACACAACCAGAAACGGAGGUGUAUGCACCGGGAUACAGAGAGAGCUCUGAGAGAAUCCCUCUAGGUAACACCCAAGGAGCCAGAAACACUUCACAAUGCUCAAAGGAAGUGAAGAAAUCCCUCGUUUCUUUUUCUCUCGGUCUCUCAAGCCUCAGCCUCCAAGCAGGCCCCAUGGGAACCUGCAGAAAACAAAACUGAGGGAGGGAAGCCCUCCUCUCCAUUUGCAGUCACUGUGGGCCCAAGAGGAUGAGGAAAAUUCCCAUUGCUUUAUUUCUUCUCUGCCGCUUGCCACUUAGCACCAGAUGUGGGGACAGUCACAGAAGUGCCUGGCACUGUGGAGCAACAAAAGCCCCAGCUUUCUGGCCACUGAAGAAGGGGAGCCCCAGGGAACUGUAAAGUACCAGGGAGGUGGCAGAGAGGAGGAAAGUGAUCCUAUAAAGGUGUUUAUGAACUCCCGAGCUCAUUACAUACCCAGGUCUGACCCUGACCAGCACGUCAUAGACAAUGAGAACUGAACUACAGGAUGGACUACUAUCCAGGUCCCAGGCUGGCUGGUGGCCCAAAUGCACAAUAGCAGAGGCUUCGAACCAAGAACUGGCAUUGGAAUCACAACCCGCGGACGGCUGACAGGAUUGGCAGCCUGAAGGUAAAUAGGUCAAUUGCCUGCUAAAAUUACCAGGACACUCUUGGAAGACCCACAGUCACAUAAUAUCAUAUUCAUAAUGUCUAUGAUUCAAUCCAUAAUCACUCAGCAUGCAAAGGACCAGGAACAUUUCAACUCACAUGGGAAGAAAAUGAACAUGCCCUGAAGUCAAGGGGAAAGAGAUUGGAAUUAUGUAAUAAAAACUUUAAAGCGGUUACUGUGCAAAGUGUUCCAAAAAGCCACGGUGAACACUCUUGAAAUAACAGAAAUAGUCUCAGCAAAGAAAUAGAAGACAUACAGAAAAACCGUGGAAAGCUUUAGAACUGAAAAAUAUAAGCUUGGGUAGGCUCCAUAGUAAAAUGGAGAUGCCAAAGGAAAGAAUCAGUGAACUUGAAAACAGAUCAAUAAAAAUUAUCCACUCUGAACAGAGAGAAAAAUGAUUCAAAACCAAAAGUAUCUUGUGACCUGAGACCAUAACAAAAGGUGUAACAUUUGUGUCGUGAGAGUCCUAAAAGAAGAGAAAGAGCAUGGUGGGGCUGAACAACAAUUCUAGAAAUAAUAGUAAAAACUUUCCAAGUUUGGUGAAAGGUAUCAAUUUAGAGAUUAAAGUUGCUCAGUGAACCUCAAACAGACUAAAACCAAGGAAAUGUAUGCCUAGAAACAUCACAGACUGCUGAAAGCAGAGACAAAUAUAAGGCCAAAUAAAGACAUUUUCAAAGACUAAAAAUGUUUACUACUAAGAGACCCUCACUGAAGGAACCACAAAGGAAGGAAAAACAAAAUAAAUCUAAAAGGGAGGAAAGAGCUGGAAGAAAGAAAUAUAAGCCAAGAAAUUUGUAAGCAUAUGGGUAGAUCUAAACCAGUAUUAACUGUACAAAAUCAUGACAGUCAUGAAGAUGAUGACAUAAAGAGCAAAUUUACAGGUUAAAUACAAAGGUGGAGCUUUAGCCCAGUAUUUUAAUACUGGGCAACAUUAGUAUAUCAUGUGGGAGGCUGUGAUCAGAAUUCAAGCAUUCAAAGAUCCAUGGAUUGUAUCAUUUGGAGGAAGGAAAAAGAUAUUAUCUUCAGACUUAGUUAAGUCAAGUAUAGUACACAUGGUAAAUUUUAAACAUAACAGAAAGAUAGGUGAGUCUGACAUUGGCCUUGCCACCAGCAGGUGUCCAAAGUCAUAGAGGAGAUGAGACCAAUACAAAAAUAGUUGAAAUCCAAGGCUCACAAGUUGAGAGAGUUAUAGAUGCCAGAGCUGGAGUCCCAUAAACCUGUGUCUCAGGGAUGUCAGGUCCUUCCCAGCUCUAAACUUGUGUCACCUGCAAGGAAGAUGAGAUGUGAGAAGGAGUGGGACAGGUCUGGUCAGUUCAACUUUCUGAGUCUUACGUUUCUCUUGCCAUGAGGACCCUGGGAUCCUAAGGCUUCUGUAUGAUUUGGGAGGGGGGUAGAGCCACUUGUUCUCUCCCCGCUUCACUCCAUGAGUGGAGUCUGCAGAAUAAGAUCCUUCGAGUCAGAACCAUCUUCAUAUCAGUCAGUUGGUUUCUUAUUUGGGUACCAGUGGCUCCUCCAGAAAAUUCUGGUGAGUCAGUGGAGGAGUGUGUGCUCCAUUGCAUGGAGUAAGUAAUGCAUUUGGGACAUGUCCUAUGCUCAGCUUCAAGUAGCCAAGUCUCCUUUCUUCUGUCCCUUGGUGACCUAGGCCUCGCACCACGGUGCCUUGCCCUAACCCAGUAUCCUAAGCUAAGCCCAUAUUGUGUCCAACUGAUCCUAGGGACCUGGGCACAUACAUCAUUAAUCAGUGGAUGCAGCUGCCUGGCAAUACUGCAGAAGAGUGGCUUGGUGUCCCUGCCCUGCAUAUGGCAGAGGAUGUUAUGCAGGUUCUUCACUGCCUGCAGUGCCUCUCACACUCAGUCUCCAAAUUCCCACUCAUUCUUCAAAAUGCAGUGCAGACAUCCCUUUCUCAAGAAGCCUCCCUUGUCCCUUGCCUCACCUCUAACCCAAGCCCCUCCCCACUGACCUCCUGUACCCGUGCAUACAUCCCCCUUCUCCCUACCACAUGUCAUUCCAAAUCUCAGCUGUAUCCUCUCCUUCUACACACUAGCUUUCUGGGAAUAGUGAGGAAUUCCAGUCAUGGUUGCAUCUCUCACAGCCGUCACAAACCCCAACACAUGUCAAUGCUUAAAUUGGUGUUGUUCACCCCUGCACUGACCUCUUUACAGUGCUUAAGACAUUCUUUUCGUGAGGAGAAAACUACACGUCCUUGGGCACACCUGCCAUGACAUCUUCUGAUUUUUAUAGGGACUUGUGUACAGGGUGGCUCAGCACAUUCAGUCUUCCAAUUGCCAUGCUCUAUUGUCUACCUCUAGAGCUAAACUUUUUCGUUUCAGACCCUCUGCAUAAUCUCCUUUUUAUUUUUGAGACAGGGUCUCACUCUGUCCCCCAGGCUGCAGUGCAGUGGCGCAAUCAUGGCUCACUGCAGCAUAGACCUCCCUGGCUCAAGUGAUCCUCCCACCUCAGCCUCCCAAAGUGCUAUGAUUACAGGCGUGAGCCACCACACCAGGCCCAUAAGUGGUGCUGUCCAGUGAGAAGAAUUAGGAGAAUGAAGAAUCCAUAGAGCACUCCCACCCACUGCUGCCCUUGUUCUCUGAUCAAACUAAUGCUUCCAUCUCAGGCAUCUGUACCCUGGCAGGUGAUAUGUUUCUCCACUGCCACCUGGAAGCUCCUUGGAGGCAGUUUGUAGAGAUGUGAUUUAACCCACAGCUUCCUGAUGACCCUUUGUGGGUUGUUCUACCUCACAGUCAUUAGGACCAAGGUACAAAUCUCCUCCAGUUCUCCUUGUGGCUUUUGGAAAGAGAAGGUUCCAAGGCUCAUCCCCAAGAAAAGUCCCCAGGCAUCUGCGAAUGAGCUUUGGUCAUUAAGUGAUUCUCUCCUAUCAGGAGGGCAGGGACUCACUUACCUCAACCUCCCACCCCGUCCAACAUACACCUUCCCAGUGAUGGAGGGAAAGAGCUCUCUAGAGGGUGCAAGAGGACAAGAGGAGAAGAGGAAGGGACCUGUUCUUAGUCUGUGAAGUCUCUGGCUUAUAUGUCAGGGUGAGGGUGGGGACCAGUUUCUGGAGCACAGAGCUUCUUCUGAAGCUGUGAGUAAACCAUCAGGAAGGUGGGAAGAAGUUGUGGAAGCAACUUUGGAAAUUCCCUGGUACCUCAGAGGUCUAGGUCAGAAGACAUGCGUGCCAAGGGAAGGCAAGGAAACCUACUCAUAGGUAGUAGGUAGCCAAGAAAAUAAAAUAGCAGAUUAAGCCAGUGUCAGGAAGGUAAGUACCCAAGUGUGUGGAUGGACAGGCAGGUAGAUGACAUGAAUACUUGGUCUAAAGGUGUGCAGGGCUGGGCGCUGUGGCUCAUACCUGUAAUCAGAACACUUUGGGAGGCAGAUCACUUGAGGUCAGGGGUUUGAGACAAGCCUGACCAACAUGGUGAAACCCUGUCUCCACUAAAAAUACAAAAAUUAGCCAGGUGUGGUGGCAGGUGCCUAUAAUCCCAGCUACUCAGGAGGCUGAGCCAGGAGAAUUGCUUGAACACUUUGGAAACAAUGUCACAAGCUGCGGAUAUAGUCCACGGUAGAACUGAAACGAUGACCUUAUUUCCUAGCACUGUGCCUUCAUCAACGGGCUUCUUAGCUCUUGGUCUCUAGAGAGAACCCCUCACAUACACACAUCAUGUUGUCUAUGCAUCAGCUAAGCACAGUACAGCUGGGGCCCCUUGCACACAGAGACCAAGAUGUGGAAGGACGGAAGCCAGGCCAGGCAGGGCCAGGGAAGCCACUGCCUCUCAUCUCCACUUUGCGCUUCCUGGCAGGAGCAGGAGAAGGUGAGGAUCUCAGCCACCUCUGCUGUGGGCCACAUGCUGCAGCAACUAAAAACAUGUAAGCCUGGAGGCAUCACCCCCCAAAAUUUUUUCACACUUCUGAUAUCAUUGGUGCUCAGCAUUCAGGAAAAUAACAUGGAAGUGCUCCAGGUACACUGGCUGUCACUUGUCUGGCCACUGCCAGGCCUGAUAUGUGUCCCCUUUCCUUGAGAGCAGGGCCCCUUCCCUGUGGCCAUUUCCAUGAGCCCAGCCUUGCCUGUAGGCUCUACAUUCACCUCUUUGACAUUGUCCUCUGGGUGGCUCUGAACAUAUCUGCCCUCUCUUUAUGACGGAAGGGCUUCCACUCAGCCCCUUGGCUGGAGAGUCACAGGAGUGAGGUUGAGGCCUCCCUUCUCUCCAUCCCAUAGGCCUGGGGAAAGGCUCUGGCGGUGUGGGCUGACAUGAUUGGCUGGUCCUCACUCAUCCAGCCAUUGCUGCGUGCCACGCUCAGCGACCACAUGCAUGUAGGUCCUGGAGGAAAUCUGCAAGUACCUGGUGAGUGAGGGUCUCAGGAGAGGCUGCACACAGUCCUCAUGCUGAGCCCUCAGUAGCGGGUUCCGUGGGCACAGAGGGGUGGGCUGCCAGAGAGAGGUUCCUGUGCUCCUUGUUUCUCACUCCUUCACAUGAGCCCACUCUGAGAACCCACAGCUGGGGUGCCAGUCCCUGGUUCUCUGUAUUUGACUCUCUGGGCAUCCAGAUCACUGCCUCAAAGGCUGGGGAGGUCAUGCCAGGUCCCUGGAUGGCAACUGGCCAGAGGUCUUCUGGUUGGAGUGGCAGGGAGAGAAGAGGGCAGGAGCAUCAGGCCUCUGGUCAGUUGGCAUGGGGUGAAGGGUCUGUGGCUCCUGCAAAUUCAAGAACAAGCCAGGGCUCAGGAAUCCCUGUUGAAAAGCAAACAUUUAAGGGCUAAGAAAGUAGGUUAAGAGCUCAGAUGAGUCAUUCUAAGGAUUUAUAGCAUAAAUCCUUCACAUAGGGGGAGCAUUUUACAAAGCACUUUUCCAUUUAUUACCCACGGGCACUUGUCAUGGUGUGUGGGAGGUUGGGCGGGAUUGCCUUCCACUCUACUCUCAAGAAAGUGAAGCCAGUGGGUGCCAGGUCCAACUUUCAAACCCAAGGCUCCCAGCCCCAUGGAGUUGUUUUCUCUCACAUCCUGUGGGUUCCCAGAAGCAGUAAACUUCCUGCUGCAGAGGGGUGGGGGUCUGAGUCUGCAGGGUCCAGCAGUCAGAGCUGCCUGAAGAUGCACUGCUGCUGCUGGGGACAGUGGGGAGGCCGUGGCUGCCAGGAGGCCUUCUGCAGGACUCCCAGUGGCUCCUCUCCUGGUCAGCACCGCCCAUGGCUGUAGAAGGAGAGGUUGCCAGGAAGAGGGUCUCUGCAGAGGGAGUCUAGAAAGUGCAAACAUUCCUCCCACAUAAGAAACUUUUCAUCUUCCUUGAAGCAGAGGGCAAGGUCGCUGGGAGCUGGGGCUGGCGAGGGGCGAGUCAGUAGGAAAGAAAGCUUCAGGAGACCGGCGAGGGUCUGUCAUAGCCAUUGGGGGAGUAGGACAUAAAGCUGGCCAGAGACCACAGGACUUACGGGCAGCACCAAGGACGAAGCAGAGGCCAGGAGCUCAUACCCGUCUAGAUCCAUGAGGCCAUGUGGUCUCAGCAGCGCUCAGCCGCCCCACACAGGACAGAGAAGGUGGCAGCUGGACUGAGUCAAGGGGAGUCCUCCUGUGAUUGUCCCCAGGGGCAGACGGUGAGGUCAAGGGGAUGAGGGAUUGCUGAAGUAACUGAUGGGAUGGGCCAUGGAGAAGCAAGUGAAGAGGCUGAGGGGACUCAGGGAGGGUCCUAGGAGGAAAUAGAAAGCCUAAGUCCUUGAUGUGGCACAGGGCCACUGGGUAACAAGGCGGAGAACAGCAAGCACAAGAAAUUGUCAAGGAGGAGACACCAGCCUGCGGCUUCAAGAGGUGGUGUAUUACUCAUUGCUAAGGAGGAAGAGGGUAAUUGGACUGGGAUGCUGGAGAUGGAGCCCUGGGCUCUAGCCAGCAUAGGGCUGCCAGACGUAGCCACCAGCUCUGAAUUCUCAACUCCGAUUCUGGGAUAAUAUCCUGACUUUGCUGAGCACAGAUCUUUUUUUUUAUUAUCAUUUUUCAAUAGAGACAAGAUCUCCCUCUGUCACCCAGGCUGGAAUACAGUAGAGGGAUCAUAGUUCACUGUAACCUCAAACUCCCAGGCUCCAGCAAUCCUCCUGCCUCAGUCUCCUGAGUAGCUAGGGCUGCACAUGCAUGCCACCAUGCCCAGCUAACUUUUUAAGUUUUUAGUAGAAAUGGAGUCUCUCUAUGUUGCCCAGGCUGGUCUCAAACUCCUGGCCUCCAGCGAUCUGCCUGCCUCAGCUUCCCAAAGUUCUGAGAUUGCAGGCUUGAGUCACUGUGCCAGAACUAUGCAUACCUUUGACUUAAUAGCAACCUUGACCUGGAGCUCAUCCUUUAAAAAUCAAAUUUUAAAAAAAUAUGAUUUCAAAACCACACAUAGUAAAGAAUUUGGAGAAUACAGAACACCAACACAGAAAAGAUUAAUACAGAAAAUCAAUACAGAAGAGAAGUUAGAAAUCUCCUGCAAACCUACCACUGGGAUUUAGACAUGAUUAAUUUGGGGUUAGCUCUUUCCAGUUUGCCUUUUUUUUUCUUUUUCUUUUCUUUAUUUUUUUAAUUUUUUUUUAUUUUUUGCCUAUUCAGGAGCAUUUUAGUAAUGUAUCCUCCAACUUACUGGGGCUUGGAGCUCUGUGACUCAGUUUUCCUGGUUAGAAGAUAUGAUGGCCACAUGCCAACAAAUUUCUGGAACAGCUUUCAUGUGGUUUCCUCAUACCUGCAGCCAGGAGGGCUGCAUAUCUCUCCAUCCUAGGCAGUGAGGAUCAGAGAGCCGGGUGAUGGGUGCAGAGCCAUGCAGCAGGCCCAUGGGCUCCAGGGUUCCUCACCUUAACCCAAGUGGGUGCCAGAGAAAAAUCUCACCUCGAGAGGAGGCACAGACACCAGGCUGCCAGGGCCGUGCACCACAGGUCAGAUCCAUCCAGAAUCUCCCACGAGCUGUUCUCAUGCCUCUGUGACACAAAGUCAGAAAAGCAGUCAGUCCCAGAAGAGAGUUUACAACUUGCUUUUUGAGCCAAUCAGACCUUUGAACAAAAUGUCCUCUUUUCCACAGUGUAUCUGUCCUAUUCACCUUCAGUUUGGAGAGCUGUUCUGACCUUUCUUAACGAAAUGAGUGUCUCCCCUUCUUCGGCGAAUAAUAAAUUCAGUGUCUGCUUUAGACAGCUUUGGUGACCUUUGUGUUCUUCUGUGGCAUGAACCUCGCUUUAGUCAUCGCUGUGGCCAGUGGAUAGCCACUCUCUUCUGAGGGCUGUCACAGAAUUCCUCCUUCUGAGAGGUUUAUUGGUGAUGGGGUAGGGGGUGGUCAGGGGUCCCAAGCCUCCCGGGCGAAGGCCAAGCCCUGCUUUCUUUACCAAGUUGCUCAGAGGUCUCCACUUGCAAAUCAUUAGCCUCAUUGGGUUGGCACUCGUCCACUUGCAUUUCUAGCUGGGACAUUCUCUUCUAUGAAAAUAGUUUGUGGAUAUGACGAGUGGGCAGAGGAGUUUGUUUCUGUUAAGGAGUUGCUGAUGGUAGGGCAAUGAUUCCAACUUCCAUUGUUCAGCCAGAUUCCUUCAUUCCCCAAACUGCUCUGGAUUUAGCCUAAUCUUGGAAGUCAGAGUCCUGUUUGACUAACGAGAAAAAUCAGAACUUCUGGGUAAAGUUACCAGACAUUCACUAUUGGGAGGAAAUAGCUCCAGACUUGGGCUUGCCACUGUCCUUCCUUGCCCCCUCUUGGAUGGAAUAGUUGGGAACUCUUCCCCUCCCUACCUCCCCAGUCUUCCCCAGGGUGAGAAGAGCUUUUUUAUUCCUAUUAGCCAUGAUUUCAAGCCAACAUUGAAAACGUUUUGAUUUCCUGGAUCGUGGGGGAAGCUUCUGUCUGGGCAUCCCAGCCUCACAUACUGAGUGCCUCUUCGAGCCCUGUGUGGUGAAUCAAGUGUGCCCUCCUGAAAGCCUCCUUGACUCCAGGUGCAGUCAGUGUAUUUUCUCCUACACUAUUGGAAUCAGGGCUUCUUGAAUCAAACCUGCAAAUUUAUGCAAACACUAUGCUAACAUUUUUGACAAAAACUGGCAAAGGAAGGCCUUUUGCAGGUGAAGUGCAGCUAACACCUAAUGGCUAGCAGAGGGCUGUUUGGGGUGGGGACUCAGGUGAGAGUUGAAGCAGAGGAGUGGGAGGAAGGAGGGUUGGUUGGUGUCUGCAGCAGUGAUGGAAGAUGCUGGGGCCUUCCUCCUCCCCUGCCUUCCAACAUGGGAGUAACCAGUGAAGGAGCAGACAGAGAGUCAGGGACUCCCUGUCUCUUUUUCACAGUUGAGACAUCUUCAGAGCUGGGGUGAGGACUGAAUCUCUUAGCCCCUCUUGAGAUGCUCCAGAUGCCGCAUCUAGUACAGAGUAUGAGGUUGAGAGGCCCCCAUGCCCUCCGGCCUUCCUAUGCUAUUACAUUCACAUCAUACUCUACCACAUCGUCAUUCACUUCACAUUAAAGCAUCUUAAUUGUCCCCUGGAAGGUUAAGCUGUGUGGUUCUUACUUUUCUAUGAUCUGUCUUUAUCAAAGAGCCGUUUACCCUUUAAAUCUUAACAUUGGAAGGUCCUUUAGUGAUCACCCUGUGCGAUCCCUCUGUUUUAUGCAUGAGGGGACUAAGACAUGAAGAAGUGGUUUACCCCAGUUCUCAGACCCAGACUCCAAACCAGUCAUAAUCCCGCUAGGUGACAUUACUUACUGGACAACAGGCCCCCGGCAAUCUAAGUGCCACUUGAGAUAUCAUGGGAGCAAAAACUACUUGUCUUCUUUUAAAGGCAAGCAUCUUUAAAAGAGGUACUUUGGGUCAAGAAUGAUUUUGUAAGUGCACACCCCUGUCACUUCCAGCGAGGGACCCUGGAAGGUAAACGAACAAUCCUAACAAUGCCCAGCACUCACACCAUGCCCUUCCUCUGAGGCGUGCUCUGAAGAACAAUCUUGCUUGUCCUUGGAAUCAUCCUUGUGAAGGUGUGGGAGGGAGGGACCAUUAUCCUCAUCUUUAGAGGAGAAUCCAGGCACUGAAAAUAGACAACAACCCGCACAGUGGUCAGGCUGGCAUUAGGCUCAAGGCCACAUGCGUGUUGGCCCUGGCCCAUUUCUUGUGAGCUGUGGAGAACCAGUUACCUCCUUAACCCAGGGCCACGGUGUAGCCAAGGGACAUCUGGAGGGUGACACUCUUUGCUUUUAGGUCUAGAAAGGGGAGAGGAAACAAGAGAGAAGAGGAAGCAGCAGAAAAAGGGAAGGGAGGAAAGUGGAGAUAAAGACAGGGCCUGGCAGGGGCAGGAUAGAUGCUAAUGCCUUGCCACUGCUCUUAAUGUCGGCAUGUGGAGAGCCUGGCUUGGCAGCUCGGUUACCAGCCUUUAGGGCUUUGAUGCCUUCCUGUCAUCACCCAGCAUUAUUGGAAAUUCACUAGGGUUUUAUAUUCAGAAGAAAACAGAGUCCCUCCCCUUCAUUUCUGAGCAGGAGUAGCUCCCACUGUCAGCCAGCCUUUUCCUCCCCUCAGAGCACAGUUUAUGACAGUUCAAGUUUUGUUCUCUGUUCUGUAAGCUGCUGUUGUGCAAGGGAGGAGAACAGGUACUCGUGGGUGUGCUAGAGCUGAAACGUGUUUAUCUGAAUCUGAACAGUGGGUGCUUUCACACACACACACACACACACACACACACACACACACAGAGAGAGAGAGAGAGAGAGAGAGAGAGAGAGAGAGAGAGAGAGUGGUAUUCAGCACCUUCCCUUAGGGCUGCAAGGCUCCUCAUCUCCCCUCCUGCAGCAGCAGAUCUGGGCUCCUGUUGAAGACAAGCCCUCACAGCACUUGGGCGGACAUCAUUUACCAGGCACAUCAAAGGUUGGGAAAGAUGUGACUAAUGAGUCUAGCUUGUGCAAGACUCAUCCUCUUACCUCCCUCUCACCAUCACAUUCCCAGUCCCACUAAAGCAUAGGAUUCUGGCUGAGUCUUUGGCUAAAAUGAGUAGUGGCAACUCCUCUUGUUUAGGCAUCCAAGCACACACCACCAGAUCCAGCAAGUGCACACCAACUCCACUUCAGCUAAUUUAUGACUUCAAAGGUGGUCUAGAAAGGAGACCUUUACAACAGAAAAGCUUCCUGGACUGCAGGCAGAGUUGUGCCAAUGCAUUCAGGCCAUAAUUCUGAUUGCUCCCCAUAAGCCAGGAAACUCACUACUCACUAUGCCCACCUUGCUGUUUGCCAUCACAGAAAUGCACUUGAGUUGCUCACCUGCAUUGCUACAGUUAAACCACAGGCUGCAGGUGCAGCACUCUUUCCAGGGUGUGCAGGGGAAAUGGCAUUUGUUAUUUGAGUAAUGUGUCUCUCUCCAUCCCCAGAGUCGGUAAACAAACAAGUUAUCCAUGGAGCAAGCUCUUCCCUUUUGGCAUCUUUCAGUUUUUGAGUGGCAGCUCUGCAAUGAGGCCACUGGCCAUCCCUCAGCUGUGUAGAGAACAGGCAUUCUUGGCCCUUGGAGUCCUGCUGUAGCAUUUUCAGGAUGCCAAGUUAUUGGUGGGGACAGGUGCCCAAAAUUCAGCAUAACACACCUAAGCCUUAUUUCCCUUUUUCUGGACACUUCUUGAUUUAGGAAUAAAAGCCCCUUCCUCCUCCUGGGCUGGGCUGGCCUGUAAACAUCUCAGUCUGAGUUUGCUGAGUGUUGCAUUCAGGCCAUAAUUCUGAUUGCUCCCCAUAAGCCAGGAAACUCACUACUCACUAUGCCCACCUUGCUGUUUGCCAUCACAGAAAUGCACUUGAGUUGCUCACCUGCAUUGCUACAGUUAAACCACAGGCUGCAGGUGCAGCACUCUUUCCAGGGUGUGCAGGGGAAAUGGCAUUUGUUAUUUGAGUAAUGUGUCUUUCUCCAUCCCCAGAGUCGGUAAACAAACAAGUUAUCCGUGGAGCAAGUUAUCAGUCUGAGUGUUGCUAUAUUCAGUUGCUAGUUUCCAUUCCAUAUGAUGAUGUGUGACAGGACAGCUCACCCUGUGAGUUAGCAAGGGGUUUUAAGUAAUAUGCUUUCUGAUGGAAAGGACGACAAAGAUUCCUAUUAUUCACCAGUGAGCCUGGAGACUGAGCUGGUCCAGUUUUGAUGACUGAGCCACAGCAAUGUCAAUCUCAUGUGCUCUGUCACUACUUCCCACUGUGGCUUGACGAAAACAGCCUCAAGGGCCCUGCAGAAGCGCUCCAGCCACGCAGUCAGGAGACUUGCCAACUCAGUCUGUCCAAGGCCUCUGUGACAUUGGAACAAAAAUAGGUCUGUGUGCUAGCCUCAGCUUCUGCAUCUGCAAAGAGAAGUGGUUAACAAAAAUUAGGGGUAGCAAGUAAUGCUUGCAGCUUUCAGUUAUAGACAUGCACAGAUAUUGCUGUUGGUGAAAGCAUCCACAGAACACCAGGCAACACGCCACUGAAAGAGAGCGGCAUUUUUUUUGCUCCUAUUCUUCGAAAUGCCAGUGGAGAUAAACUGAUGCUGCUAUUUGUGUUUUCCUGGACUAUUUCCUUGUGAAGCCUUCCAGUCAUUAAAUGCUCACUCCAUCUUCUUUCAAAAGUGACUCAGCGUGCGGCUGAGAAGCAGCAGCAGCAGGAUCACCUGGGAGUUUGUGAGAAUGCGGAACCUCAGGCUCCCCGGCUUUCCUGCUGAAUCGGAACGCGCUGUUUCACACUCUCCCAGGUGAUUCGCAUGUGUUUAACUUUAGAAGCACCCGUCUGAAGUUGUGUUUGUCAAACCUAAGUGAACAUCAAAUCCCUGCAAGGCUCGUUAAAACCUUGCUGGGCCCCACACCCAAGUUUCUGAUUCAAUAAGUCUGGGUCAGGGUCUGUGAAUUUGCAUUAUAACAUUUCUAACUUUCCUGGCGAUGACACCACCUGUCCAGGACCAUACUUUGGGAACCUCUGGUAAGUCUUCCUUGAGCAGGUGUUUUGUGACACCUUAAUUCCCAGGUCACCGAGAAUCUAGAGCAUCUCUAUAAUAUGUAUGCUGGCUUCUUCAAUCUCCAGAAUUACUGUGUUCUCUUAAUCAUCUUUGAUCUCUUUCUUGAUUUCAGUAUGUUUCUCUCUCUUUGUCAUUAGGAAGCCCUAGUCUCAGAAAGCCAGUUAGUUCUGUGCUGUGCAAAAAUGGGAGGAUUUCAUGAAAAUCCUACUUUUCUCUCCCAUGUGGUUGUUCUAAAAUUCUACCUGUUUCUUCAUCUGGAGUUACACCGCUGGUCCCUGAGGGGCUUGUUACACUCCUCCUCAGAGCUAGUGAACAUUGGCGGCUGGUGUGUAAUCUUCUGUGCCUGUUAUAUGUGUGUACAUACCUUGGCAUUUACAUGUAGAAAUAUGUUUUGGAUUUCUUAGGCCGGGCACGGUGGCUCACGCCUGUAAUCCCAGCACUUUGGGAGGCCGAGGCGGGCAGAUCACGAGGUCAGGAGAUCGAGGCCAUCCUGGCUAACACAGUGAAACCCCGUCUCUACUAAAAAUACAAAAAAUUAGCCAGGCAUGGUGGUGGGCGCCUGUAGUCCCAGCUACUCAGGAGACUGAGGCAGGAGAAUGGCAUGAACCUGGGAGGCGGAGCUUGCAGUGAGCCGAGAUUGUGCCACUGUACUCCAGCCUGGGCGACAGAGUCUCUCAAAAAAAA